This is a long non-coding RNA of Paramormyrops kingsleyae, 1567 nucleotides long. RefSeq lists it as uncharacterized. NCBI's taxonomy places the organism in Eukaryota, Metazoa, Chordata, Actinopteri, Osteoglossiformes, Mormyridae. The record is from RefSeq and is a predicted model, not a curated record.
AGGUGCUUAAAGGCGGGAGCGGGCUUCCUCGUCGGCUCGCGGGACAAAUACGGCAUUCUUCAGGAGACGAUGGCGAACGUCUCGCACACCUGUGUUCUCCACUUGCAGAGUAAUUAGGGACUGGAUACUAUUUCAAGCUGGUUGUGUAUAAUAUCCCACUCGUGAGAGCUAGUGGGUAGGAAUUCUGGUUUUUAUGAAGCAGUAAAGCACCUUUUUUUUGUACGAACAUGCAUUUGGAUUGCCUUGGAUUGGUUUUAAAAUCUUUUUAAAUAUAUAGUUUUCCAAAUUUAUAAUUCCACACCAUGAUCUUUUAUUUAUUUUAUGAAGUCCAAAGGGAUGUUACUAAGAAUUAUAACUUUUAAGUGAGGAGGAACCUUCUCCGCUAGAGCCAGACUCCAUCCAGCACAGACUGUCAAGGCAAAUAUGAAAUAACCCAAAAAUUAUUGAGUGCGUAUGCCUAUGUACUAAACCGCACGGAGUCAAGAAGCGAAAGAAAAGAAAACGAGUAACUGGGGGUGGAAAAAACGAGCGUGGCCAAUAAAAUGUAACACUGUUAUUGAAGUGAGUAGGGGUAGGAGAGGGUAAGGCUGGGUCACUCGGGGUGUCAAUGAGUAACUUAGGGAGACUUAAAAUACAAGCCAACCCUUGAGGAUACCGUGCUGCCUUCCCAGAAUGCAUCUGUGAAUAGGGCCCCAGUUCAAUAAAAAUGCAGGUACCUGGAUUAUACAAGAGACAUUUCACCUUCUAAGAUUUCCCAGUUUUUUUUUUUAAGACUUCAAAUUAAUUUAUUCAUGAAUGGGCCAUUUUUCCAUCACUUGAGUGCUAAAUUAAAGUUUUUAUUUUUGGCCCGUUCAUCUCAUUUAAAGAUUUUCUGAAUUAAUCAUCGACGUAAAUAUUAAUUAGCGAAGAGGCAUUUUCAAAUUUCGUACAUUUCUGAAAUUACAAGGACCUUUUGUGGUUCCCUCAAUAAAACUAUUUCAGCGGCUGAGGAGGUCUGACCUUUGCCUGUACCACAGAAAUCGCUGCUCUGUUUUAUAGUUCCCAGUAACUGGUGACAAACACAACUAAUGAUGCCUUGAAAAGAAAUGUAGGACGAAUCCUUUCAAUAUCUGGGCUAAUAACUACACCAAGAAACUAACGCAUCAUAGUCAUAUUAUAAGAAAAGAUUCAUUUUAGUUAUGUUAGUAAAUACGCAGAUGCAAUGGCUCAUGGGAAAAUCCCAAGUGAAAAUACACCGUGAAGGUGACAUAGUACACGCUGGAUGCCGUGUAUUCUCAUCCAUAGCCGCAAACCUCUUUUUUAUAUUUUUUUCGAUAAGAGAGAGUCAUACCUUCAUUGCUCUGGUUAAACCAACUAUUUCUGUCAAAUCUCUUGCCUUUCCCAAAGCCUGUAAACGUUUAGUAAAUAUUUAGUAAUCAUUUUUAUCAUUGUCCUCUGCUACUGUCCAUCAGUGUAGGGUAAUGGUGGCAGAAUCACUGGCUUUUUAUGACUGGCCAUGUGCUUAUCUUAUGUGCCUUCUAUCGGGAGUCAUUGAUGUUAAGUCCCCAAAGGAAGGUUGUGUUGUUCC